GUGCCAGCAGCCGCGGUAAGACGUAGGGGGCGAGCGUUGUCCGGAUUUACUGGGCGUAAAGCGCGCGUAGGCGGCCCGUUAAGUCGGAGGUGAAAACCCAGGGCUCAACCCUGGGCCUGCACCCGAUACUGGCGGGCUCGAGGCAGGUAGGGGAGAGCGGAAUUCCCGGUGUAGCGGUGAAAUGCGCAGAUAUCGGGAGGAACACCGGUGGCGAAGGCGGCUCUCUGGGCCUGUCCUGACGCUCAUGCGCGAAAGCUAGGGGAGCAAACAGGAUUAGAAACCCCCGUAGUCC
This 292-nucleotide ribosomal RNA is filed under the name uncultured bacterium. RNAcentral's name for it is "partial 16S ribosomal RNA". It matches the Rfam family "Bacterial small subunit ribosomal RNA", at positions 505 to 796 of the family's 1533-position model. The record is from RNAcentral.